Hydra vulgaris (swiftwater hydra) is the source of this 320-nucleotide non-coding RNA. Lineage: Eukaryota; Metazoa; Cnidaria; Hydrozoa; Anthoathecata; Hydridae. The record is from RefSeq and is a predicted model, not a curated record.
UUGCGUAGGUCAAAAAAUAAUAAACAAAGAUGAUAUUGAUUGUGAUGACCAAGAGAUUUAUUUUAAGACACAUCAAUCUUCAUCAUCUUUAAAUAAAACGGAUAAACAUUAUGGAUUUCCAUUAUCUCAAGCAAUUUGUGCAUCGACUUCUCACGAAUAAUACACAGAGUCGAUUGUCGAUGCAAUAAUUGGUGAUUCGUGAAAGCGGGCAACUUUUGCUUGUCUUAAAGUGCCUUGAAUCCAACAGAUAUCAUCGUUAUAAUAUUACUUUGUUUGUAAAUUGUUUUAAAAAAUAAAUUUAAAAAUAACUUUUAAAUAAA